CCUACGGGAGGCAGCAGUGGGGAAUUUUGGACAAUGGGCGCAAGCCUGAUCCAGCAAUGCCGCGUGAGUGAAGAAGGCCUUCGGGUUGUAAAGCUCUUUUGUCAGGGAAGAAACGGCAGUUUCUAAUACAGAUUGCUAAUGACGGUACCUGAAGAAUAAGCACCGGCUAACUACGUGCCAGCAGCCGCGGUAAUACGUAGGGUGCAAGCGUUAAUCGGAAUUACUGGGCGUAAAGCGUGCGCAGGCGGUUUUGUAAGUUUGUCGUGAAAUCCCCGGGCUCAACCUGGGAAUGGCGAUGAAGACUGCAAGGCUAGAAUCUGGCAGAGGGGGGUAGAAUUCCACGUGUAGCAGUGAAAUGCGUAGAGAUGUGGAGGAACACCGAUGGCGAAGGCAGCCCCCUGGGUCAAGAUUGACGCUCAUGCACGAAAGCGUGGGGAGCAAACAGGAUUAGAUACCCUGGUAGUCCACGCCCUAAACGAUGUCUACUAGUUGUCGGGUUUUAAUUAACUUGGUAACGCAGCUAACGCGUGAAGUAGACCGCCUGGGGGAGUACGGUCGCAAGAUUAAAACCNCAAAUGAAAUUGACGG
This 588-nucleotide ribosomal RNA is filed under the name uncultured bacterium. RNAcentral's name for it is "bacterial SSU rRNA". It matches the Rfam family "Bacterial small subunit ribosomal RNA", at positions 338 to 916 of the family's 1533-position model. The record is from RNAcentral.